This 438-nucleotide ribosomal RNA is filed under the name uncultured bacterium. RNAcentral's name for it is "bacterial SSU rRNA". It matches the Rfam family "Bacterial small subunit ribosomal RNA", at positions 954 to 1392 of the family's 1533-position model. The record is from RNAcentral.
AUGGGAACGCGAAGAACCUUACCAAGGCUUGACAUAUACGAGAACGCUGCAGAAAUGUAGAACUCUUUGGACACUCGUAAACAGGUGGUGCAUGGUUGUCGUCAGCUCGUGUCGUGAGAUGUUGGGUUAAGUCCCGCAACGAGCGCAACCCUCGUUCUAUGUUGCCAGCACGUAAUGGUGGGAACUCAUGGGAUACUGCCGGGGUCAACUCGGAGGAAGGUGGGAUGACGUCAAAUCAUCAUGCCCCUUAUGUCUUGGGCUUCACGCAUGCUACAAUGGCCGGUACAAAGGGCUGCAAUACCGUGAGGUGGAGCGAAUCCCAAAAAGCCGGUCCAGUUCGGAUUGAGGUCUGCAACUCGACCUCAUGAAGUCGGAGUCGCUAGUAAUCGCAGAUCAGCAACGCUGCGGUGAAUACGUUCCCGGGUCUUGUACACACCG